AUCAUUUCUCUGUAUUUCAAUCAGGAUCAAGUGUAGUAUUUAUUCUAAUCCAUUUGAUAUCUGAUUUGUUCUCUAAACGAGAGCGUUAUAUCAAACAGAUUUUUUUUUAAAACAAGGAGCUGGGAUAGGAGUUUGCUCUUUCGGCUCCAUAUACCAAUCUGAUAUUGUAGUACGUCUUAUGUUCUAGGGAAAGGUUUU
This is a small nuclear RNA of Neoarius graeffei (lesser salmon catfish), 198 nucleotides long. RefSeq annotates it as U2 spliceosomal RNA. The transcript has a single exon. Lineage: Eukaryota; Metazoa; Chordata; Actinopteri; Siluriformes; Ariidae. The record is from RefSeq and is a predicted model, not a curated record.